This 250-nucleotide ribosomal RNA is filed under the name uncultured prokaryote. Its description in RNAcentral is "partial 16S ribosomal RNA". It matches the Rfam family "Bacterial small subunit ribosomal RNA", at positions 524 to 773 of the family's 1533-position model. The record is from RNAcentral.
UACGUAGGUGGCAAGCGUUAUCCGGAUUUACUGGGUGUAAAGGGUGCGUAGGUGGCUAGGUAAGUCAGAUGUGAAAACCCAGGGCUUAACUUUGGGACUGCAUUUGAAACUGCUUGGCUAGAGUGCAGGAGAGGUAAGUGGAAUUCCUAGUGUAGCGGUGAAAUGCGUAGAUAUUAGGAGGAACACCAGUGGCGAAGGCGGCUUACUGGACUGUAACUGACACUGAGGCACGAAAGCGUGGGGAGCAAAC